AAUAAACUAAUUUUUCACUUUUUACUUUUUGACUCUUCAUUUUAUUUAAAAUUUUUUUAUUGAUAUUUUUGUUUUUAUUAGAUGAUAAAUCAUAAAUAGUGCUUUAUGUGUGACUAAUUUUUUUUAAUUUUCUAAAAAAUUUUCAAAUAAGACGAAUGGUCAAAUGUUGGACACGGAAACC
RNAcentral lists this microRNA precursor (181 nucleotides) under Oryza brachyantha (malo sina). RNAcentral describes it as "MIR812 microRNA precursor family". It matches the Rfam family "MIR812 microRNA precursor family". Lineage: Eukaryota; Viridiplantae; Streptophyta; Magnoliopsida; Poales; Poaceae. The record is from Rfam by way of RNAcentral.